This 817-nucleotide ribosomal RNA is filed under the name uncultured bacterium. RNAcentral describes it as "bacterial SSU rRNA". It matches the Rfam family "Bacterial small subunit ribosomal RNA", at positions 8 to 796 of the family's 1533-position model. The record is from RNAcentral.
AGAGUUUGAUCAUGGCUCAGAAUGAACGCUGGCGGCGUGCUUAACACAUGCAAGUCGCACGAGAACGCUUCAGCUUGCUGAAGCUAGUAAAGUGGCGUACGGGUGAGUAACGCGUGGGUAAUCUAUCUCUGAAUUGGGGAUAACAUUGCGAAAGCGAUGCUAAUACCGGAUAAUAUCCAUUAAACCUCGGUUUUUUGGAUCAAAAGGUGGCCUCUACAUGUAAGCUACUGUUUGGAGACGAGCCCGCGUACCAUUAGCUUGUUGGUAGGGUAACGGCUUACCAAGGCAACGAUGGUUAGCUGGUCUGAGAGGAUGAUCAGCCACACUGGAACUGACACACGGUCCAGACUCCUACGGGAGGCAGCAGUGAGGAAUUUUGCGCAAUGGGGGAAACCCUGACGCAGCAACGCCGCGUGAGUGAUGAAGGCUUUCGGGUCGUAAAGCUCUGUCAAGUGGGAAGAACCCGCGCCGCACAAAUAGUGCGGUGCGCUGACGGUACCACUGAAGGAAGCACCGGCUAACUCCGUGCCAGCAGCCGCGGUAAUACGGGGGGUGCAAGCGUUAUUCGGAAUCAUUGGGCGUAAAGAGCGCGUAGGCGGUCUUCUAUGUCAGGUGUGAAAGCCCGGGGCUCAACCCCGGAAGUGCACUUGAAACUGGGAGACUUGAGUAUGGGAGAGGGAAGUGGAAUUCCUGGUGUAGCGGUGAAAUGCGUAGAUAUCAGGAGGAACACCGGUGGCGAAGGCGACUUCCUGGACCAAUACUGACGCUGAGGCGCGAAGGCGUGGGGAGCAAACAGGAUUAGAUACCCUAGUAGUCC